GGGCUGGGCUCGCGCCGGGUGGAUCGGGGGGCGGCAGCAGGCUCGGCUCGGGGCAGAAGAUUCAGCUCCCCGGCUUCCACGCUGGGUUUUGCUUUUCGGAGGAGAGCGUCGGGCAGGUGAGCCCAUGCCACAACCCGGGCGCGCUUCUGUGCUGCUCGCCGUCCCAGCAGGGCAGCUAAAACACGUCCAGCACGGCAAGGACACAACCAAGAGGGACAAAGGCAUCUCCCAAUCGGGCCUUCGGGGUGGAAGAAGAGAGCCAGGACCCAAAGGAAGCAGCCGGGAGCACAGCUGGGAAGAGAUUUCACAGGGCAGGGGAGAUGGGAGCCAGGGGGCGGCUGCUGCUCGGACAUUUUGCACUGGUCGCAUCCUUCUCUUUCCACCCCACCGUUCCCCAUGGUCGGGCUGAUCCUUCCCCACCCCCAAAACCACUGCAAACCACAUUUGUAAAAGGAAAAAAAAAAAGUUUAUUUUUCUCACGAGAAGCACAUAAAAUAUACAGUACAUUUUUACAAACCAAAGUAAAAAAAAAAAGUGCAUUAUGCAUCCCCUACCGCGAACGUACAGUACAAAAGAUACUGCGUAUUUAAAUAUAAAACCAGAAUUAAGAAAUACGAUGAAAUAAAAGGAACACUGUUAUCA
This is a long non-coding RNA of Cygnus atratus (black swan), 642 nucleotides long. RefSeq lists it as uncharacterized. The transcript is spliced from 2 exons. The record is from RefSeq and is a predicted model, not a curated record. Lineage: Eukaryota; Metazoa; Chordata; Aves; Anseriformes; Anatidae.